This 217-nucleotide ribosomal RNA is filed under the name uncultured bacterium. RNAcentral describes it as "partial 16S ribosomal RNA". It matches the Rfam family "Bacterial small subunit ribosomal RNA", at positions 116 to 334 of the family's 1533-position model. The record is from RNAcentral.
CGUACACAACCUUCCUUUUAGUGGGGAAUAGCCCAGAGAAAUUUGGAUUAAUACCCCGUAACAUAUUGAAGUGGCAUCACUUUAAUAUUAUAGGUUUACCGCUAAGAGAUGGGUGUGCGGCUGAUUAGGUAGUUGGCGGAGUAACAGCCCACCAAGCAACGAUCAGUAGCUGAUGUGAGAGCAUGAUCAGCCACACGGGCACUGAGACACGGUCCAG